CGUGUAGGCGGUCGGUCAAGUCCGGUGUGAAAGCCCGGGGCUCAGCUCCGGAAGUGCAUCGGAAACUAGCCGACUGGAGCGCGAUAGAGGAGGGUGGAAUUCCUGGUGUAGCGGUGAAAUGCGUAGAUAUCAGGAGGAACACCGGCGGCGAAGGCGGCCCUCUGGAUCGUUGCUGACGCUGAGACGCGAAAGCGUGGGGAGCAAACAGGAUUAGAUACCCUGGUAGUCCACGCUGUAAACUAUGGGUACUAGGUGUUCGGGGUGUUGACCCCCUGAGUGCCGACGCUAACGCAUUAAGUACCCCGCCUGGGGACUACGGCCGCAAGGCUAAA
This 332-nucleotide ribosomal RNA is filed under the name uncultured bacterium. RNAcentral describes it as "bacterial SSU rRNA". It matches the Rfam family "Bacterial small subunit ribosomal RNA", at positions 568 to 898 of the family's 1533-position model. The record is from RNAcentral.